Molecule: ribosomal RNA, 534 nt
Filed under: uncultured Thermoplasmatales archaeon
Lineage: Archaea; Methanobacteriati; Thermoplasmatota; Thermoplasmata; Thermoplasmatales
Description: bacterial SSU rRNA
Rfam family: Archaeal small subunit ribosomal RNA
Source: RNAcentral
GCGCGAAAACUUCGCACUGCGCGAAAGCGCGACGAGGGAAUCCCAAGUGUAUGCACGUAAGUGUAUACUGUUUCUCUGUCUAAAAAGCAGAGAGAGUAAGAGCUGGGUAAGACGGGUGCCAGCCGCCGCGGUAAUACCUGCAGCUCGAGUGGUGAUCGUUAUUAUUGGGCCUAAAACGUCCGUAGCCGGUCUUCUAAAUGCCUGGGUAAAUCGUAUGGCUUAACCAUACGAAUUCCGGGUAGACUGUUAGACUUGAGACCGGGAGAAGCUAGAGGUACUCCUGGGGUAGAGGUGAAAUUCUGUAAUCCUAGGGGGACGACCAGUGGCGAAGGCGUCUAGCUAGAACGGGUCUGACGGUGAGGGACGAAGCCCUGGGGCGCAAACGGGAUUAGAUACCCCGGUAGUCCAGGGUGUAAACGCUGCUUGCUUGAUGUUAGUCUGGCUCCGAGCCAGAUUAGUGUCGGAGAGAAGUUGUUAAGCAAGCUGCCUGGGAAGUACGGCCGCAAGACUGAAACUUAAAGGAAUUGGCGGGGG